RNAcentral lists this ribosomal RNA (219 nucleotides) under Triticum aestivum (bread wheat). RNAcentral's name for it is "partial small subunit ribosomal RNA". The record is from RNAcentral. Lineage: Eukaryota; Viridiplantae; Streptophyta; Magnoliopsida; Poales; Poaceae.
AUGUCGGCUAGCAGCCGCGCUCCGGCCAACCGCUGCGUCUGCAAGACGCCGUCGGGGAACCCGCUGCCGCGGCGGGGCCAGGUCAAGGAGAGCAUCGCCAAGCACAUCGCGGCGGCCGCCGUGGCCACGGCGUCGGCGCUCGUCUGCGACGCGGGCGGCAAGAAAGGCGGGGCCGCCAAACCGCCCGCCGCGCCCGCCGGCGCCAACAAAAAGAAAUGA